AGUGAACGCUGGCGGUAGGCCUAACACAUGCAAGUCGAACGGCAGCACAGUAAGAGCUUGCUCUUACGGGUGGCGAGUGGCGGACGGGUGAGGAAUACAUCGGAAUCUACUUUUUCGUGGGGGAUAACGUAGGGAAACUUACGCUAAUACCGCAUACGACCUACGGGUGAAAGCAGGGGAUCUUCGGACCUUGCGCGAUUGAAUGAGCCGAUGUCGGAUUAGCUAGUUGGCGGGGUAAAGGCCCACCAAGGCGACGAUCCGUAGCUGGUGUGAGAGGAUGAUCAGCCACACUGGAACUGGGACACGGUCCAGACUCCUACGGGAGGCAGCAGUGGGGAAUGUUGGACAAUGGGCGCAAGCCUGAUCCAGCCAUCCCGCGUGGGUGAAGAAGGCCUUCGGGUUGUAAAGCCCUUUUGUUGGAAAAGAAAAGCAGCAGGUUAAUACCCCGCUGUUCUGACGGUACCCAAAGAAUAAGCACCGGCUAACUUCGUG
Molecule: ribosomal RNA, 492 nt
Filed under: uncultured bacterium
Lineage: Bacteria
Description: partial 16S ribosomal RNA
Rfam family: Bacterial small subunit ribosomal RNA
Source: RNAcentral